RNAcentral lists this ribosomal RNA (264 nucleotides) under uncultured bacterium. RNAcentral describes it as "partial 16S ribosomal RNA". It matches the Rfam family "Bacterial small subunit ribosomal RNA", at positions 793 to 1055 of the family's 1533-position model. The record is from RNAcentral.
GUCCACGCAGUAAACGAUGCAUACCAGGUGUGGGAUGGCGUUCGCGUCGUUCCGUGCCGCAGCUUACGCGAUGAGUAUGCCGCCUGGGGACUACGAGCGCAAGCUUAAAACUCAAAGGAAUUGACGGGGGCCCGCACAAGCAGCGGAGCGUGUGGUUUAAUUCGACGCAACGCGAAGAACCUUACCUAGUCUUGACAUAGCACUGCAAACUUCGGAAAUGAAGUCGCCUUCGAGGGUGUGCUACAGGUGCUGCAUGGCUGUCGU